RNAcentral lists this non-coding RNA (24 nucleotides) under Arabidopsis thaliana (thale cress). The record is from RNAcentral. Lineage: Eukaryota; Viridiplantae; Streptophyta; Magnoliopsida; Brassicales; Brassicaceae.
AGCGAAGAUGUUGAGCCGCUGUUA